RNAcentral lists this ribosomal RNA (294 nucleotides) under uncultured bacterium. RNAcentral's name for it is "partial 16S ribosomal RNA". It matches the Rfam family "Bacterial small subunit ribosomal RNA", at positions 775 to 1067 of the family's 1533-position model. The record is from RNAcentral.
GGAUUAGAUACCCUGGUAGUCCACGCCGUAAACGAUGAAAACUAGCCGUUGGGAGCCUAUGAGCUCUUAGUGGCGCAGCUAACGCGUUAAGUUUUCCGCCUGGGGAGUACGGCCGCAAGGUUAAAACUCAAAGGAAUUGACGGGGGCCCGCACAAGCGGUGGAGCAUGUGGUUUAAUUCGAUGCAACGCGAAAAACCUUACCUACCCUUGACAUCCUUGGAAGCCUCUAGAGAUAGAAGUGUGCCUUCGGGAGCCAAGUGACAGGUGCUGCAUGGCUGUCGUCAGCUCGUGUUG